RNAcentral lists this ribosomal RNA (253 nucleotides) under uncultured bacterium. RNAcentral describes it as "partial 16S ribosomal RNA". It matches the Rfam family "Bacterial small subunit ribosomal RNA", at positions 524 to 776 of the family's 1533-position model. The record is from RNAcentral.
UACGUAGGGUGCAAGCGUUGUCCGGAAUUAUUGGGCGUAAAGAGCUCGUAGGCGGUUUGUCGCGUCUGCUGUGAAAACUCGGGGCUUAACUCCGGGCCUGCAGUGGGUACGGGCAGACUAGAGUGCGGUAGGGGAGACUGGAAUUCCUGGUGUAGCGGUGGAAUGCGCAGAUAUCAGGAGGAACACCGAUGGCGAAGGCAGUUCUCUGGGCCGUAACUGACGCUGAGGAGCGAAAGCGUGGGGAGCGAACAGG